RNAcentral lists this long non-coding RNA (458 nucleotides) under Mus musculus (house mouse). Its description in RNAcentral is "predicted gene, 57402". Lineage: Eukaryota; Metazoa; Chordata; Mammalia; Rodentia; Muridae. The record is from RNAcentral.
AGGGGGGGUGGGGGGGAGACACCUUUUUUUGUGCCAAAAACUGUGGACAUGCUGGUUCAGCAGCCUCAGGACCAAGCUGUUAAUUUAUUUUUUUCUUAUUAACAAAUCCAAAUGACAAGUUGUGGGCCUCCAGGGUGGCCUGGGCCCAAAGGUUAUGAAGGAAGGUUUCCUAGCAGCCCUUGGCCUGCUGUGCAAAGAUGCUACACCACCUUCAUUUGUUCUUCAUUCCAUGGGGUUUAUCUGCCUUCACCAACCCCACAUGGAAGGGCCAAGCCUGGGUCAGGUGCACGCUGCCACCCUCCUUCCCCUCCCUCCCACUUGCCCAGCUCUGUGUCUGAAUUGUGGAAUGUGCAGAAGAACCUGCAGCCAUAGUUAUUGACUAUAUCUUGACUGAGGGCUUGCAGUGCAAAGCCAGGCCAGUGCAUUACUUACAAUAAAAGGGAUCAUUUAUAUCAGAA